RNAcentral lists this ribosomal RNA (468 nucleotides) under uncultured bacterium. RNAcentral describes it as "partial 16S ribosomal RNA". It matches the Rfam family "Bacterial small subunit ribosomal RNA", at positions 28 to 507 of the family's 1533-position model. The record is from RNAcentral.
GACGAACGCUGGCGGCGUGCUUAACACAUGCAAGUCGAACGGAAAGGCCCUGCUUUUGUGGGGUGCUCGAGUGGCGAACGGGUGCGUAACACGUGAGUAACCUGCCCUUGACUUUGGGAUAACUUCAGGAAACUGGGGCUACUACCGGAUCGGAGCUCCUGCUGCAUGGUGGGGGUUGGAAAGUUUCGGCGGUUGGGGAUGGACUCGCGGCUUAUCAGCUUGUUGGUGGGGUAGUGGCUUACCAAGGCUUUGACGGGUAGCCGGCCUGAGAGGGUGACCGGCCACAUUGGGACUGAGAUACGGACCAGACUCCUACGGGAGGCAGCAGUGGGGAAUAUUGCACAAUGGGCGGAAGCCUGAUGCAGCAACGCCGCGUGCGGGAUGACGGCCUGCGGGUUGUAAACCGCUGUCGCCUGUGACGAAGCGUGAGUGACGGUAAUGGGUAAAGAAGCACCGGCUAACUACGUG